Molecule: ribosomal RNA, 484 nt
Filed under: uncultured bacterium
Lineage: Bacteria
Description: partial 16S ribosomal RNA
Rfam family: Bacterial small subunit ribosomal RNA
Source: RNAcentral
GACGAACGCUGGCGGCGCGCCUAACACAUGCAAGUCGAACGGAAUCAAGAGGAGCUUGCUUUUCUUGAUUUAGUGGCGAACGGGUGAGUAACGCGUGAGUAACCUGCCCUGGAGUGGGGGACAACAGUUGGAAACGACUGCUAAUACCGCAUAAGCCCACGGUACCGCAUGGUACUGAGGGAAAAGGAUUUAUUCGCUUCAGGAUGGACUCGCGUCCAAUUAGCUAGUUGGUGAGGUAACGGCCCACCAAGGCGACGAUUGGUAGCCGGACUGAGAGGUUGAACGGCCACAUUGGGACUGAGACACGGCCCAGACUCCUACGGGAGGCAGCAGUGGGGGAUAUUGCACAAUGGGGGAAACCCUGAUGCAGCGACGCCGCGUGGAGGAAGAAGGUUUUCGGAUUGUAAACUCCUGUCGUUAGGGACGAUAAUGACGGUACCUAACAAGAAAGCACCGGCUAACUACGUGCCAGCCGCCGCAGUAA